This 257-nucleotide ribosomal RNA is filed under the name uncultured Glomus. RNAcentral's name for it is "partial 18S ribosomal RNA". It matches the Rfam family "Eukaryotic small subunit ribosomal RNA", at positions 624 to 886 of the family's 1831-position model. The record is from RNAcentral. Lineage: Eukaryota; Fungi; Glomeromycota; Glomeromycetes; Glomerales; Glomeraceae.
AAGCUCGUAGUUGAAUUUCGGGGUCAGUAGGUCGGUCGUGCCACCGGUACGUACUGGCUUCACUGAUUCCUCCCUCUUGCAGAACCGUGAUGCCAUUAGUUUGGUGUUGCGGGGAAACAGGACUGUUACUUUGAAAAAAUUAGAGUGUUUAAAGCAAGCUAACGCUUGAAUACAUUAGCAUGGAAUAAUGAAAUAGGACGUUGAUCUUAUUUUGUUGGUUUCUAGGGUUGACGUAAUGAUUAAUAGGGAUAGUUGGG